RNAcentral lists this ribosomal RNA (253 nucleotides) under uncultured bacterium. RNAcentral describes it as "partial 16S ribosomal RNA". It matches the Rfam family "Bacterial small subunit ribosomal RNA", at positions 524 to 776 of the family's 1533-position model. The record is from RNAcentral.
UCCGGAGGGGGCUAGCGUUGUUCGGAAUUACUGGGCGUAAAGCGCACGUAGGCGGAUGUUUAAGUCGGGGGUGAAAUCCCGGGGCUCAACCCCGGAAUGGCCUUCGAUACUGGACGUCUGGAGGUCGGGAGAGGCGAGUGGAAUUCCGAGUGUAGAGGUGAAAUUCGUAGAUAUUCGGAGGAACACCAGUGGCGAAGGCGGCUCGCUGGCCCGAUACUGACGCUGAGGUGCGAAAGCGUGGGGAGCAAACAGG